AGUGAACGCUGGCGGUAGGCCUAACACAUGCAAGUCGAACGGCAGCACAGGAGAGCUUGCUCUCUGGGUGGCGAGUGGCGGACGGGUGAGGAAUACAUCGGAAUCUACCUUUUCGCGGGGGAUAACGUAGGGAAACUUACGCUAAUACCGCAUACGACCUACGGGUGAAAGUGGGGACCGCAAGGCCUCACGCGAUUAGA
RNAcentral lists this ribosomal RNA (200 nucleotides) under uncultured bacterium. RNAcentral describes it as "partial 16S ribosomal RNA". It matches the Rfam family "Bacterial small subunit ribosomal RNA", at positions 29 to 225 of the family's 1533-position model. The record is from RNAcentral.